Molecule: long non-coding RNA, 1162 nt
Filed under: Lathyrus oleraceus (garden pea)
Lineage: Eukaryota; Viridiplantae; Streptophyta; Magnoliopsida; Fabales; Fabaceae
Description: Pisum sativum (pea) long non-coding RNA (PSAT_LNC012987)
Source: RNAcentral
UAUUCUUGUAAUGAAGUGAAUAGAGUAUUCAUAGCAUUGUAUUAACAGUAUUUUGCAGUUGCAAAAUGAAUAAAAAGUUUUCCACAGUUUGUGGACAAAGAGAAAUUCUGCAGAAUUUUAAUUCUUCUUCUCUUUCAUCGUUCUUUAUUUUCUUUCUCUAUUGUUCUUCUCUUUUCAUUGUUAUUGUGUGGAUGAUAAUAAUCUUAUUCAUCAAAAUUGAUUAAAAUUCUUCAUAGAUUGUGAUAGAUUUCCAACAAAAUACAGAUGUUAAUGAUAUAUCUUUUGUAGCUCUUAAUUAUUCUCUUGUAAAUGCCACAUCUUUACCACAUAUAUAUUUGAAGGAUCUUGAUGUAUAUAAAGAAAUACUCUCUUGUGGAAAGGUAUUUUACAAUCAGCUACUAUAGUGGCUCGGUAACUCACCAACUCAUUGUGAUAUGGACAUUGUUCAUGCAUAUGGCGAAUAAAUACAUAAAAAUAUCUCUUAAAAGCAUUUACAUCUAUUAAACUCAUUUGAGUUCUUUAAAUAGUCUCAUUUUUUUUACAUUAUAUUACACUUCCAAAUUAUUUAAAUCAUUUAAUUACAUUUUUCAAAUGUUCAUACAAUCCAUCUAAAACUUUAAAAUGAUUCUAGAAAAUCCUAGAAUAUAUCCAACUAGAGCACUCCAUAUCCAAUUGCAACUUAAAUAAAAACAUAAACACACAGUUGGGAGAGUGACUCUUGUAGAAACGUUUUUCAAUUAAAGAACGAACUUUAUCACCAAAUAUCCUAAGUUUUUUGACAAGUAGCUUUAAACAUCGUGUAGAAACGGUGGAAAAACAAGCGAUGUUUCUCUAAAAAAAAACUCUAAACCAAACCAAAGUGUUGAAUCGAAACGAACCAAAUAGAACAAGCGAUAUUUAUAUAUUCGCAACAAAUAUGAGAGUUUUAAUACAUGCUUACAAUUUUGUCUUUUCACUCUUAGGAACAUGAUAGAACAUUUAAAAUUCUAAAGUUGUUAUUUCAUUUUAUAAAUGAUUUUUGAAUUAAAUACAUAACUUCUAAAAUAAAUAUUAAUAUUUCAUUACCUAUAGCACAAAUUAUUUUAUGAUCGAAUAACACCCUUUCACUUUAAAUUAUUGUAUAUAAAAACAUUUUGUCAUUUGCCUUUGGUCCUUAUGAUUG